AUUGAACGCUGGCGGCAGGCUUAACACAUGCAAGUCGAGCGGGGGUGAUGGUGCUUGCACUAUCACUUAGCGGCGGACGGGUGAGUAAUGCUUAGGAAUCUGCCUAUUAGUGGGGGACAACAUCUCGAAAGGGAUGCUAAUACCGCAUACGUCCUACGGGAGAAAGCAGGGGAUCACUUGUGACCUUGCGCUAACAGAUGAGCCUAAGUCGGAUUAGCUAGUUGGUGGGGUAAAGGCCUACCAAGGCGACGAUCUGUAGCGGGUCUGAGAGGAUGAUCCGCCACACUGGGACUGAGACACGGCCCAGACUCCUACGGGAGGCAGCAGUGGGGAAUAUUGGACAAUGGGGGGAACCCUGAUCCAGCCAUGCCGCGUGUGUGAAGAAGGCCUUAUGGUUGUAAAGCACUUUAAGCGAGGAGGAGGCUCUUUUGGUUAAUACCCAAGAUGAGUGGACGUUACUCGCAGAAUAAGCACCGGCUAACUCUGUGCCAGCCGCCGCGGUAA
This 504-nucleotide ribosomal RNA is filed under the name uncultured bacterium. Its description in RNAcentral is "partial 16S ribosomal RNA". It matches the Rfam family "Bacterial small subunit ribosomal RNA", at positions 30 to 523 of the family's 1533-position model. The record is from RNAcentral.